This 484-nucleotide ribosomal RNA is filed under the name uncultured bacterium. RNAcentral's name for it is "bacterial SSU rRNA". It matches the Rfam family "Bacterial small subunit ribosomal RNA", at positions 28 to 524 of the family's 1533-position model. The record is from RNAcentral.
GAUGAACGCUGGCGGCGUGCUUAACACAUGCAAGUCGAACGGUGAAAGAGGAGCUUGCUCCUCUGGAUCAGUGGCGAACGGGUGAGUAACACGUGAGUAACCUGCCCCAGACUCUGGGAUAAGCACUGGAAACGGUGUCUAAUACCGGAUACGAGCUUCAGCCGCAUGGCUAGGAGCUGGAAAGAAUUUCGGUCUGGGAUGGACUCGCGGCCUAUCAACUAGUUGGUGAGGUAAUGGCUCACCAAGGCGACGACGGGUAGCCGGCCUGAGAGGGUGACCGGCCACACUGGGACUGAGACACGGCCCAGACUCCUACGGAGGCAGCAGUGGGGAAUAUUGCACAAUGGGCGCAAGCCUGAUGCAGCAACGCCGCGUGAGGGACGACGGUCUUCGGGUUGUAAACCUCCUUUAGUAGGGAAGAAGCGAAAGUGACGGUACCUGCAGAAAAAGCACCGGCUAACUACGUGCCAGCAGCCGCGGUAAU